GAACGAGGAUAUAUCCUUCGGGAUAUAAGCCGAGUGGCACAAGGGUGAGCAAUGCAUAGAUUACCUACCUUUAGGAUAAGGGCAACUUUGUGAAAACGGAGCUAAUACUUAAUAAUACAAAAGAAAAUAAUUUUCUUUUGUCAAAGGGAGGGUAGCAAUACCUUUCGCCUAGAGAGGGGUUUAUGUCCUAUCAGCUCGUUGGUGGGGUAAUAGCCUACCAAGGCGAAGACGGGUAGCCGGUUUAAGAGAAUGGACGGCCACACUGGGACUGAGACACUGCCCAGACUUCUACGGAAGGCUGCAGUCGAGAAUCUUUCGCAAUGCCCGAAAGGGUGACGAAGCGACGCCGCGUGGGUGAAGAAGGCCUUCGGGUUGUAAAGCCCUGUCAGGAGUUAUGAAAUGUAAGUGCGCUAAUAUCGUGCUUAUUUGACAAAGGCUCCAAAGGAAGCCACGGCUAACUCUGUGCCAGCAGCCGCGGUAAUACAGAGGUAGCGAGCGUUGUUCGGAAUUAUUGGGCGUAAAGAGCACGUAGGUGGGUUUGCAAGUCAGAUGUGAAAGCCUUCUGUUCAACGGAAGAAUUGCAUCUGAAACUGCUAAUCUUGAGUAUAGGAGGGGAGAAUGGAACUUCUGGUGGAGCGGUGAAAUGCGUAGAUAUCAGAAGGAACGCCGGCGGCGAAAGCGAUUUUCUGGCCUAUUACUGACACUCAGUGUGCGAAAGCUAGGGGAGCAAACGGGAUUAGAUACCCCGGUAGUCCUAGCCGUAAACGAUGGGCACUAAGUAGAGGGRAUUACCUAUAUUCUCUCUGCCGUAGCUAACGCAUUAAGUGCCCCGCCUGGGGAGUACGGCCGCAAGGCUAAAACUCAAAAGAAUUGACGGGGGCUCGCACAAGCGGUGGAGCAUGUGGCUUAAUUCGAUGCAACGCGAAAAACCUUACCGGGGCUUGACAUGAUAGAAGUAGGAACCUGAAAGGGGGACGAACGGUAUCCAGUCCGUAGCUAUUACAGGUGUUGCAUGGCUGUCGUCAGCUCGUGUCGUGAGACGUUGGGUUAAGUCCCCUAACGAGCGAAACCCUUGUUUUUAGUUACCAGCGGGUUAUGCCGGGUACUCUAGAAAGACUGCCGUCGUCAAGACGGAGGAAGGUGGGGAUGACGUCAAGUCAUCAUGGCCCUUAUGCCCCGGGCUGCACACGUGCUACAAUGGUCGGUACAGACGGAAGCGAAGCCGAGAGGUGAAGCGAAUCCUAAAAAGCCGAUCUCAGUUCGGAUUGGAGGCUGAAAUUCGCCUCCAUGAAGUUGGAAUCGCUAGUAAUCGCGGAUCAGCAAUGUCGCGGUGAAUAUGUUCCCGAGCCUUGUACACACCGCCCGUCAAGCCACCCAAGCAGGAUGCACCCGAAAACAUUAUAUCUAACCAGGGCAACUUGGAGGAAAAUGUUGAAGGAGUGUUUUGUGA
This 1450-nucleotide ribosomal RNA is filed under the name uncultured anaerobic ammonium-oxidizing bacterium. Its description in RNAcentral is "16S ribosomal RNA". It matches the Rfam family "Bacterial small subunit ribosomal RNA". The record is from RNAcentral.